RNAcentral lists this ribosomal RNA (2838 nucleotides) under Verrucomicrobiales bacterium. RNAcentral's name for it is "23S ribosomal RNA". It matches the Rfam family "Bacterial large subunit ribosomal RNA". Lineage: Bacteria; Pseudomonadati; Verrucomicrobiota; Verrucomicrobiia; Verrucomicrobiales. The record is from RNAcentral.
AAACAAGUUACUAAGGGCACACGGUGAAUGCCUUGGUGCCAGUAGGCGAUGAAGGACGUGUUUAAGCUGCGAUAAGCCUCGGAGAGCUGCACUCAAGCUAUGACCCGGGGAUUUCCGAAUGGGGUAACCUGUAUUUAUUAAUAUGAAUACGUUCCUCCCUGAAUAUAUAGGGGAGGACACGCGAACCCGGUGAAGUGAAACAUCUCAGUAACCGGAGGAAAAGAAAGCGAAUGCGAUUCCGUAAGUAGUGGCGAGCGAAAGCGGAUCAGCCCAAACCAGGGGCUUUGCUCCUGGGGUUGUAGGGCCCGAUAGUGGUAUCCUAAGAGUUAGUCGAACGUGGUUGGAAAGCCACCCCAUAGAAGGUGAAAGGCCUGUAGGCGAAAACUUGAAGGAACCUAGGAUCACCCUGAGUAAUACGGAACACGUGAAACUCCGUAUGAAUCUGCGCCGACCAUGGCGUAAGGCUAAAUACUAACUGGCGACCGAUAGUGAACUAGUACCGUGAGGGAAAGGUGAAAAGUACCCCUUUGAGGGGAGUGAAAUAGUACCUGAAACCGUGUGCCUACAAGGAGUGGGAGCCUCUUCGGAGGUGACCGCGUGCCUUUUGCUUAAUGAGUCUACGAGUUAGUGUCUGUGGCAAGCUUAAGCACUUUUGGUGUGUAGGCGUAGCGAAAGCGAGUCCGAAUAGGGCGACCAUAGUCGCAGGCGCUAGACCCGAAACGGAGGUGACCUACCCAUGGCCAGGUUGAAGCAACGGUAAAACGUUGUGGAGGACCGAACCGGUACAGGUUGAAAACUGUUCGGAUGAGCUGUGGGUCGGAGUGAAAGGCUAAUCAAACCCCGUGAUAGCUGGUUCUCCUCGAAAUGCAUUUAGGUGCAGCGUCGCGUGCUUACCCUCGGGGGUAGAGCACUGAAUGAGCUAGGGCCCAUACCAGGGUACCAAACUCAACCAAACUCCGAAUACCGGGGGGUGGAACGCGGCAGUGAGACUGCGGGGGAUAAGCUUCGUAGUCGAAAGGGAAACAGCCCAGAUCAGCAGCUAAGGUGCCUAAAUAGUGCUCAGUGGAAAGGAGGUGGGAUUUCAUAGACAGUGAGGAUGUUGGCUUAGAAGCAGCCACCAUUUAAACAAAGCGUAACAGCUGACUCAUCGAGAGAUCCUGCGCCGAAAAUGAUUGGCGAUAAGCACUAUACCGAAGCUCUGGAUGCACAGUUUACUGUGCGUGGUAGAGGAGCGUUCUCAACACAUUGAAGCCUUAAGGCGACUGAUGGUGGAGAGUUGAGAAGUGAGUAUGUAGACAUGAGUAACGAUAAGCCGGGUGAGAUCCCCGGCCGCCGUAAACCCGAGGUUUCCUGGGCCAUGCUGGUCAUCCCAGGGUUAGUCGGGACCUAAGCCGAGGCCGAAGGGCGUAGGCGAUGGAAAGCUGGUUAAUAUUCCAGCACGGCCUAUAAUUUAAACUAGAAGGACGCAUAUUGAAUAAAGACUAAGUUAUUGAAUUAUUCUGAGGCGAGGGUUUAUCCCGGACCGUAUCUUUUGAAGAUGUGCCAAGAAAAGUUCUAGUGUAUAGAAAUAGGCCCCCGUACCGUAAACCGACACAGGUGGGUGGGUAGAAUAUACUAAGGCGCAAGAGUGAAACCCUGUUAAGGAACUCGGCAAUUUAGCCCCGUAACUUCGGGAGAAGGGGUCCCGGGACUUGUCCCGGGCGCAGUGAAAGGGCCCAUCCGACUGUUUAGCAAAAACACAGCAUUCUGCGAACACGAAAGUGGAAGUAUAGGAUGUGACACGUGACCAAUGCCAAAAGAUUAAGGGGAGGUGUUAGCUUCGGCGAAGCUCUGAUCCUAAGUCCUGGUGAAUGUCGGCCGUAACUAUAACGGUCCUAAGGUAGCGAAAUUCCUUGUCGGGUAAGUUCCGACCUGCACGAAUCGUGCAACGAGAUGGGCGCUGUCUCAACAGGGAGCUCAGUGAAAUUGUAUCCGCGGUGAAGAUGCCGCGUACCCGCAGAAGGACGGAAAGACCCUAUAGACCUUAACUGUAAGCUGUCACUGUUUUCUCGAUUUUAAUGCUCAGCAUAAGUGGGAGGCUUUGAACUGACCCUUUAGGGGGUCGGGGAGCCAACAGUGAGAUACCACCCUUUAAUGUUGGGAAAUCUAACCUCUUGCCUUUAUCAGGCAGAGGAACAAUGGCAGCCGGUCAGUUUGACUGGGGCGGUCUCCUCCUAAAGAGUAACGGAGGAGCGCGAAGGUAGGCUCAGCGCGGUUGGCAAUCGCGUUUCGAGUGCAUUGGCAUAAGCCUGCCUAACUGCGAGACUUACAAGUCGAGCAGAGACGAAAGUCGGCCAAAGUGAUCCGGCGGUGGAAAAUGGAAUCGCCGUCGCUCAUCGGAUAAAAGGUACCUUAGGGAUAACAGGCUGAUCGCGCCCAAGAGUUCAUAUCGACGGCGCGGUUUGGCACCUCGAUGUCGGCUCGUCACAUCCUGGGGCUGGAGAAGGUCCCAAGGGUUCGGCUGUUCGCCGAUUAAAGUGGCACGCGAGCUGGGUUCAGAACGUCGCGAGACAGUUCGGUCCUCUAUCCUCUGUGGGCGUAGGAAACUUGAGGGGUUCAAACUCUAGUACGAGAGGACCGAGUUUGACGAGCCUCUGGUGCUCCGGUUGUCGCGUCAGCGGCAUAGCCGGGUAGCUAAGCUCGGAACAGAUAAGCGCUGAAAGCAUCUAAGCGCCAAGCUAUUCCCAAGAUAAAGUUUCCCUGAAGGAUCGUGGAAGACUACCACGUUGAUAGGCUGCUGGUGUAAUCAUGGCAACAUGUUUAGCUUAGCAGUACUAAUAAUCCGUCCGACUUGUUUCA